RNAcentral lists this non-coding RNA (54 nucleotides) under unclassified sequences. RNAcentral's name for it is "chromate-resist RNA". It matches the Rfam family "chrB-b RNA". The record is from RNAcentral.
CGGGGACUGCAGGCAGACUCCCCGCCCCAAGACGCCCUGGCGUCCAAGCUCUGC